This 302-nucleotide long non-coding RNA is filed under the name Gallus gallus (chicken). Lineage: Eukaryota; Metazoa; Chordata; Aves; Galliformes; Phasianidae. The record is from RNAcentral.
AAUAACCUUAGGGCCAGAGCUUUGAAAUGAGACUAUUGCAAUCUGGCCCAUCUGAUUAGUACAACUGCCAAUCCAAAGAAAACCAUGUUCCAUGGAACAGGAAUCCGAAUCCGUUUCUCCAGAGAGGUACAGUUCAGGAUUAUAAGCGGCACAUUCAAUCUUAAACUCCUGCUGUUUGGCCAUCAUCACUGGCAUGUGUCUAACAAGGAGAGGAUGUUUCUCCUUUUUGAUUUGAUUCCCAUCAUCUUCUACACAGAACCAACCUAACAGGUUAUCCUCCGCUGUAAUGGAAAGAACAAACA